GACGAACGCUGGCGGCGUGCCUAAUACAUGCAAGUUGAGCGCUGAAGGCUGGUACUUGUACCAACUGGAUGAGCAGCGAACGGGUGAGUAACGCGUGGGGAAUCUGCCUUUGAGCGGGGGACAACAUUUGGAAACGAAUGCUAAUACCGCAUAAAAACUUUAAACACAAGUUUUAAGUUUGAAAGAUGCAAUUGCCUCACUCAAAGAUGAUCCCGCGUUGUAUUAGCUAGUUGGUGAGGUAAAGGCUCACCCAGGCGAUGAUACAUAGCCGACCUGAGAGGGUGAUCGGCCACAUUGGGACUGAGACACGGCCCAAACUCCUACGAGAGGCAGCAGUAGGGAAUCUUCGGCAAUGGACGAAAGUCUGACCGAGCAACGCCGCGUGAGUGAAGAAGGUUUUCGGAUCGUAAAACUCUGUUGGUAGAGAAGAACGUUGGUGAGAGUGGAAAGCUCAUCAAGUGACGGUAACUACACAGAAAGGGACGGCUAACUACGUG
This 497-nucleotide ribosomal RNA is filed under the name uncultured bacterium. RNAcentral's name for it is "partial 16S ribosomal RNA". It matches the Rfam family "Bacterial small subunit ribosomal RNA", at positions 28 to 507 of the family's 1533-position model. The record is from RNAcentral.